This 1078-nucleotide unclassified non-coding RNA is filed under the name Hevea brasiliensis (rubber tree). Lineage: Eukaryota; Viridiplantae; Streptophyta; Magnoliopsida; Malpighiales; Euphorbiaceae. The record is from RNAcentral.
AAAAUCACUUGAUUGAUUAAUGCUUUCAAUUAAAUAUAACAAAAAAUAUAUAUAUCAAUUCACAGAGUUCUAGCUUACCAAGGUUCUAUCAGGAUUGAGGAUCAUUAUUAGUCUUUUGCAUUCAUGGAAAAAUUGACACAUACCCUUCAGCCAUUCUAGUUCUACUCGUGCGGAGCAAACCUUUUCGUGAGCUUGGCAAUCUCUUUGGAACUCAAUCCAAAAGCUUUCUCCAGAAGCUCUUCUUUAAUUCCUGAGCCAAAUACAGCCACUGGGAUUCUUUGCAAUCCAGGAUUUUGGCUAUUAAAACUACCCAAUAUAGUUGCUGGUUUAUCUCCAAUGUUCAUUUGGAAAUGCACUAGACCUCUAGGGAAUACCAUUACCUCACCUUUUUCAAUCACCUUAGCAAAAAUUCGAUUCUGCGUAUCGACAAAUCCUGAAUAUAUUUUCCCCUCUAGAACAAAUGCGACCUCAGUUGCUCUUGGAUGGAAAUGAGGCACAUUGACGCCUCCAACAUCAAAAUCAGCUCUUACUAGUGACAUGCCUAAUGUGUUCAGACCAGGAAACACAUUCACAUUUACUGGAAUGGAAGAUAGCCCUGUUUCGUCGAAUUUUCCAGUAGAUUUUUUGAUCCCAGAAACUACAAAAUCUUCUACUGUGGCAGCUGAUGAGUUCUUGCAGGAACUAUGAGUUUCAGAAUCUGUAUUAAGUAUGCAGAAGUCUCUGAGAGGAUCAGGGUCAGAAGCAAAGGUGAAAUAGCCAUUGAAAAGCAAGAAAAACAGAACUGUUACCUUUAUAAUUAAGGACAUUACUAUGCAGGGCUCUAUGGACCUACUGACAUAGAAUGCAAAAUGAAGUACUAACGUAAGACAUAUAUACAGUUCUUUCUGCAGUAUGCAGCUUGCUUAAGAAGAAAGGAAAGAGGAUUAGUUGGAUACAAAUGCUUGUGAGAGUUUUUAAAUUCAAAAUUGGUUAAAGCAAAGGAUGAGUUGUGUUGAUGGAUUUGAUUAUUGAACAAAGAGUAUACCCAAAGAUAUAAAAUUGCCAAUACUUCAACUAAACUCAAAGAUUCUAAUCUCCA